Molecule: long non-coding RNA, 253 nt
Filed under: Elaeis guineensis (African oil palm)
Lineage: Eukaryota; Viridiplantae; Streptophyta; Magnoliopsida; Arecales; Arecaceae
Description: long non-coding RNA (EGUI_LNC037243)
Source: RNAcentral
UAUGGGUAGGUUCUUAACUAAUUAUUUCUCAACCAAUUUCUAGUAUUUAAUUUAGCCCCAGAUUUUAUUACAAUAGGCGAUGGGCCUCUACUGAAAGUUUUGGUUAGGUCAAACUAUUAACAUGAACUUACUCAGUGAUUCUAUCUAAUGAGUGAUCAAGCUUGAAGAUGGCUCGAUUAACCCAACCAUCAUCAGAUAGUUCAUCAGAGUCAUCAUAUGAUGAAUGAUAAUUUCAUCAUUCAGAGAGAACAUC